AGGGGAGCGUUCUGUAAGCCUGCGAAGGUGUGCUGUGAGGCAUGCUGGAGGUAUCAGAAGUGCGAAUGCUGACAUAAGUAACGAUAAAGCGGGUGAAAAGCCCGCUCGCCGGAAGACCAAGGGUUCCUGUCCAACGUUAAUCGGGGCAGGGUGAGUCGACCCCUAAGGCGAGGCCGAAAGGCGUAGUCGAUGGGAAACAGGUUAAUAUUCCUGUACUUGGUGUUACUGCGAAGGGGGGACGGAGAAGGCUAUGUUGGCCGGGCGACGGUUGUCCCGGUUUAAGCGUGUAGGCUGGUUUUCCAGGCAAAUCCGGAAAAUCAAGGCUGAGGCGUGAUGACGAGGCACUACGGUGCUGAAGCAACAAAUGCCCUGCUUCCAGGAAAAGCCUCUAAGCAUCAGGUAACAUCAAAUCGUACCCCAAACCGACACAGGUGGUCAGGUAGAGAAUACCAAGGCGCUUGAGAGAACUCGGGUGAAGGAACUAGGCAAAAUGGUGCCGUAACUUCGGGAGAAGGCACGCUGAUAUGUAGGUGAAGUCCCUCGCGGAUGGAGCUGAAAUCAGUCGAAGAUACCAGCUGGCUGCAACUGUUUAUUAAAAACACAGCACUGUGCAAACACGAAAGUGGACGUAUACGGUGUGACGCCUGCCCGGUGCCGGAAGGUUAAUUGAUGGGGUUAGCGCAAGCGAAGCUCUUGAUCGAAGCCCCGGUAAACGGCGGCCGUAACUAUAACGGUCCUAAGGUAGCGAAAUUCCUUGUCGGGUAAGUUCCGACCUGCACGAAUGGCGUAAUGAUGGCCAGGCUGUCUCCACCCGAGACUCAGUGAAAUUGAACUCGCUGUGAAGAUGCAGUGUACCCGCGGCAAGACGGAAAGACCCCGUGAACCUUUACUAUAGCUUGACACUGAACAUUGAGCCUUGAUGUGUAGGAUAGGUGGGAGGCUUUGAAGUGUGGACGCCAGUCUGCAUGGAGCCGACCUUGAAAUACCACCCUUUAAUGUUUGAUGUUCUAACGUUGACCCGUAAUCCGGGUUGCGGACAGUGUCUGGUGGGUAGUUUGACUGGGGCGGUCUCCUCCUAAAGAGUAACGGAGGAGCACGAAGGUUGGCUAAUCCUGGUCGGACAUCAGGAGGUUAGUGCAAUGGCAUAAGCCAGCUUGACUGCGAGCGUGACGGCGCGAGCAGGUGCGAAAGCAGGUCAUAGUGAUCCGGUGGUUCUGAAUGGAAGGGCCAUCGCUCAACGGAUAAAAGGUACUCCGGGGAUAACAGGCUGAUACCGCCCAAGAGUUCAUAUCGACGGCGGUGUUUGGCACCUCGAUGUCGGCUCAUCACAUCCUGGGGCUGAAGUAGGUCCCAAGGGUAUGGCUGUUCGCCAUUUAAAGUGGUACGCGAGCUGGGUUUAGAACGUCGUGAGACAGUUCGGUCCCUAUCUGCCGUGGGCGCUGGAGAACUGAGGGGGGCUGCUCCUAGUACGAGAGGACCGGAGUGGACGCAUCACUGGUGUUCGGGUUGUCAUGCCAAUGGCACUGCCCGGUAGCUAAAUGCGGAAGAGAUAAGUGCUGAAAGCAUCUAAGCACGAAACUUGCCCCGAGAUGAGUUCUCCCUGACUCCUUGAGAGUCCUGAAGGAACGUUGAAGACGACGACGUUGAUAGGCCGGGUGUGUAAGCGCAGCGAUGCGUUGAGCUAACCGGUACUAAUGAACCGUGAGGCUUAACCUU
Molecule: ribosomal RNA, 1716 nt
Filed under: Escherichia coli
Lineage: Bacteria; Pseudomonadati; Pseudomonadota; Gammaproteobacteria; Enterobacterales; Enterobacteriaceae
Description: bacterial LSU rRNA
Rfam family: Bacterial large subunit ribosomal RNA
Source: RNAcentral